Oncorhynchus mykiss (rainbow trout) is the source of this 2511-nucleotide long non-coding RNA. RefSeq lists it as uncharacterized. The record is from RefSeq and is a predicted model, not a curated record. Lineage: Eukaryota; Metazoa; Chordata; Actinopteri; Salmoniformes; Salmonidae.
CUGUCUGGAGUCUGUCUGAAACUGAACAAAUUGGAGAUGGAGUUUUAAGUCUCCAUCUAAAUUGAUAAGAAAUAAUGAAUUCAAUAUGGGAAUUUACAAUCACUGAACAACGCUAGCGAUUGAAUUACCGCGCAAUAUAAAUCAAUAUUUAGGCUGACGCUUUGAAAGUUUUUUCAAUGUUUAUCAUCAGACAAUUCAUUAUUUACAGGUAUCAUCUUCUUCCGUCCUGACAAAAAGCCUAUUUGCCCGAAGUUUAAGCCUAAUGGAGCGUUUCAAUGGAGCAGUUAUUUGAAAGAAGGCCCUUAUGACAUCUUGAACCCUGUACAUAAACCCCAUGUCUGUGGUGAGGACACUGUUCCAUGGCUGAUGCGUGUGAGGAGGAUGGCUGUGCUCUGCACCACGAAGAAGAUGUCAUGCUGAGGAUGGGUUUCUGCACUGAUGUUGUUGGUGUGAUGUACUAUAGCGGUGGCUCUCUCACUGUGUCUCUGUUGGCCAUGAAGCGUAACCAUAGAGAGUGAGUGACAGCCUGGUCCCCACACAGCAUAGGGGGCCUGAGAACCACAGACUCCUUUCAGAAGCAGUGAGGACUGACCAGUCUGCAAGCGAGACACUGGCCUUUCUUCCAUCAUGCCAGUCACUGACUGCUCUAGGCGUUUUGUUCAAAAACUAGUGCCACAAGUAUGGAAAUGCAGAUAAAUCAUUGUAACAAAUGAAAGAGGGGAAAAAAAGGUUUAAAUGCCUGGAAAUGGUCACUGUCCACCACUUGUACCACUGCCUGGUGCAUUUUGUUUUUAAAGUUUUGCCAACAUUUUCAGUUGUUGACGGAUCUGUAGAGCGAAGGUAUCUAUCUACACACGCAGAUUAUGAGAGCCCUCAAUGUAAAUAACAUAUUAUUGUUUCUUUGAAUUUAAGAUGUCGUUAACAAUGACCUAUCACAGUUUGCUGAUUAUAUGCCCGAAUGUAAUCCUUCAGAUAAACAUUCUACAUAGUUUGGUAGAUAUGGAAACAUACAACUGCCAUGUAUCGUUUACGGGGAAAAAUCAAAACAGUAUAAAGCAAGCCUGUUUAGUAUUACGUUUUGCUGGCUAUAUGUUAUUUGGGUAAGUCAUAGAAGCUCUGUAAGUAUGUACAACAUGUUUUUUUAUAUAUUUAAAAAAAUAUAUCCACAGUAUAUCUAUUGUCUUAAUCAAGUAUCCCCCAACAGUCCAAAUGGAGGAGUAGUCCAAUGGCGGUUAUAUAUUGUGAUGAUUGAACGAGUUGAACCAGUCGUAGGCUGGGAGUAGUAUGAGGAAGAAUAUGGAAACAUAGAAACAUUUAUCUCAAAUUAUAUCCAAGACAUUUCAUCCAUCUUUAUUUUGUAAAAAAAUGUUUUGUCAAAGUGAUGAGAAAAAUAUGAUUUUCCAUUUUGUGUAAUGUUGUGAUUGUCCUUCUCAUAAUAAAAAUGAGGACAUACUGAAAUGUGAUGUCUGUGUUUUUAAAGUUGUAUGCUUGUCACCUUUUUAUGAACUAACCUGACCUGUGUGAUGACAACACAAACCUGGGAACAUAAAGCUAUUGGAUGGAAAUUCACUUUACGAUUUUUCAUGAGCAAACAUCACAGUUAUAAGGCCUACUUGGAACUUAAGCCAACCUUGUACCAGCUUUGUUGUGAUAAUGCUAUUUUAUUGUUAACCAUUGUAAAUGAAAAAAAAUGUUGUGUGUCAUUAUUCCAUUUUAUUUAUCUAGUAGUCUUAUUGAUAAGAUAACUGUAAUGUCAAUGGUCUGGGGAAGGGGAGUACUAGGUCUAAUAACAGCUCACCACUUAAACGAAUGCACCCUUCUGGGCUGGACCUAACCUCUCCGGGGUAGUAAUAGUUGCAACAAAUGGUGGCAAAAUCCAAAUCAUGUAAAUAUUCUAGAUUUGAGCUUUUUGGUGCAUUUUGUCAUUGACCUUUUUGGUCGAAAGGUUACUACAAAUGAUAUUGGUGAUUUUCCCAGUGGUGUUGCCAAAACAAUGACGCCAUCCAAAUGGACUCCUUGGAACAACUCUGACCUCACCCCAUUGAAGUUGAAAUGUAAAACAGUUAGGUAAGGGUUAAGGUUCGGGGUGAGUUAUAGGUUCAGGUUGUGGGCAAUGUUUGAUGUAAGGAGAGUGGCUAGGGUUAGGGUUUAGGGUAGGGCCAUCACAAGAAUCCCGGAUAGCACUAACCAUUUGUCAGUGGAGGGUCAACGUUUUCUUUCCGAUUUUUCUGUGUUUGCAUAGAGAUGGCCAUGUCUCACAGGCGUUCAUAUAAAUAGAAUGAAUUAAUUCUGUUUCCAUGGUUAAGUUAUCCUGGACUCUGGAUGAUAGAAAAAAUGAUGACGUCAGAGAGGUUUUAAGUGUAUUAUCAUUGAGGUUUAUUUACUUUUCUUUUCCAGUUUUUCAGGAGGAAGUUAAUUACACAAUGAAUACAUACAUGAUACAAAUGAUGUACAUUAUACCAAAGAAUACUUUGAACAUAAAAUAAUUAAAAAUAACAUUGUAUAAUAAUA